CCUACGGGAGGCAGCAGUGGGGAAUUUUCCGCAAUGGGCGCAAGCCUGACGGAGCAAGACCGCGUGAGGGAGGAAGGCUCUUGGGUUGUAAACCUCUUUUAUCAGGGAAGAAGAUCUGACGGUACCUGAUGAAUCAGCAUCGGCUAACUCCGUGCCAGCAGCCGCGGUAAUACGGAGGAUGCAAGCGUUAUCCGGAUUUAUUGGGCGUAAAGCGUCCGCAGGUGGUUAUUCAAGUCUGCUGUUAAAGCGCGAGGCUUAACUUCGUACAGGCAGUGGAAACUGGAUGACUGGAGUAUGGUAGGGGUAGCGGGAAUUCCCAGUGUAGCGGUGAAAUGCGUAGAUAUUGGGAAGAACACCAGCGGCGAAAGCGCGCUACUGGGCCAUUACUGACACUCAUGGACGAAAGCUAGGGGAGCGAAAGGGAUUAGAUACCCCUGUAGUCCUAGCUGUAAACGAUGGGUACUAGGUGUUGACCGUAUCGACCCGGUCAGUGUCGUAGCUAACGCGUUAAGUACCCCGCCUGGGGAGUAUGCCACGCAGUGUGAACUAAAUAGAAGUUAGACGGCGUGAGACGUGCCGACGGACGACGACGAGGGAGGUAGG
This 603-nucleotide ribosomal RNA is filed under the name uncultured bacterium. RNAcentral's name for it is "bacterial SSU rRNA". The stretch from base 1 to 521 matches the Rfam family "Bacterial small subunit ribosomal RNA", at positions 338 to 873 of the family's 1533-position model. The record is from RNAcentral.